UUAUGACCAGUCUUAUGCUUUUCAGCCUUAAUGUCUCUCUGGAAUCCUCUGGACCUGUCCAAAGGGACAGAACUGAGCCUGUCAGUUAUGAAUCCAAUCUCUUCCCACGACUGACCUGGUGUGGGUCAGCGUGCAGCUCCCGUUGCCCAGGAGAAAGGCCAUGUGUGUAGCCGGCUCACCAUGGCCCCUGGACAAGGAACUUGAGCGGAACCUUUGGAAUUUGAGUCCCUUCAUCUGCCUAUUACUUUCCUGGGGCUGCCAAAACAAACGACCGCAAACUGGGUGGCUUAUAGCAACAGAGACCCGUUUUCUGACAGUCUGGAAACCAGAAAUGUGAAAUCCAGGUGUCUGCAGGACCGUGCUCUCUCUGAAGACUCCAGAGAAGCUAGUGAAAGCUUAAAGAAGAUAGAACAAAGCUAACAUGAAAAGACAUGUUCAGAUGUAAUUCAGAGCAACACCAGGU
RNAcentral lists this long non-coding RNA (463 nucleotides) under Equus caballus (horse). Its description in RNAcentral is "lncRNA (ENSECAG00000045757.1)". The record is from RNAcentral. Lineage: Eukaryota; Metazoa; Chordata; Mammalia; Perissodactyla; Equidae.